This 809-nucleotide long non-coding RNA is filed under the name Equus caballus (horse). Its description in RNAcentral is "lncRNA (ENSECAG00000055248.1)". The record is from RNAcentral. Lineage: Eukaryota; Metazoa; Chordata; Mammalia; Perissodactyla; Equidae.
CUGUUUAAAGCCAACCCACUCAUUUCAGACUUAAGAAAUCAGCUCUUGAAAAUUCUCAGAAAUUUUAAUAUGCUUGUCAGGAAUCUGUGGGCCUCCUUGAAUUUUCCUAUAAAAAUCUAAAUACCCCAGCUAUAAUUUUGAGAUAUCCUCUUCGCUCUACAUAAGCUAGGUUCAUCUCCUGACAGGCUGAAUCAGAAAGACUCCAGAUUCGGGGACUCCAAGCACAGCCGGACUAUGAGGUAUCAUGCUGAGGCAGGAAGUUUUAAAGGAGCAAAAACACCUGGGCAGAAAUAAGCGCACACAAACGUAGUUAACUUAUCUUUGACGAAGGAGCAAAGACAAUAUAAUGGAGGAAACAUAGUCUUUUCAACAAAUGGUGCUGUCAAUAUAUACUCCCACCAACACUAUAGGGGUAUACAAGAAGGUAAUCAAUAAAAGACUUUCAAAAAUAAAAAUGUAACACGUCAGAACAAAAUUCACUCUGGGAUCCAGUAUGAUGGAACAAUCUUUAUCUAGAUUGUUACCAGAGGGAACAGAAUGCUGCUUUCCCUUUGAGUUGACUCAACGUUUCUGUUCAGAAGUGACCGUCACCUUUUCUCACGUUUCAUUGGCCAAAGCAGAUCACAAAGCUGACGUUAAUGCUCGACUGUUCCCAAGAGGAGAAGUGAAUAUUUUUGAAUAAUAAUAUAAUCUCACACAGAUGUCAGCUUAAAAAUACAUGGAUACAUACAUUUUCAAAGUUAUUUCAGCAGAUAUAUGAGCAAAAACUUUGAAGACUACUGAGUUACAGCAAAUAACACCGUCUUAUU